Molecule: ribosomal RNA, 471 nt
Filed under: uncultured bacterium
Lineage: Bacteria
Description: partial 16S ribosomal RNA
Rfam family: Bacterial small subunit ribosomal RNA
Source: RNAcentral
GACGAACGCUGGCGGCGUGCUUAACACAUGCAAGUCGAACGAUGAAGCGGUGCUUGCACCGUGGCUUAGUGGCGAACGGGUGAGUAAUACGUGAGUGACCUACCUUUGACUCUGGGAUAAGCCUGGGAAACUGGGUCUAAUACCGGAUACGACCAAUCUCUGCAUGGGGUGUUGGUGGAAAGCGUUAUGGAGUGGUUUUAGAUGGGCUCACGGCCUAUCAGCUUGUUGGUGAGGUAAUGGCUUACCAAGGCGACGACGGGUAGCCGGCCUGAGAGGGUGACCGGCCACACUGGGACUGAGACACGGCCCAGACUCCUACGGGAGGCAGCAGUGGGGAAUAUUGCACAAUGGGCGCAAGCCUGAUGCAGCGACGCCGCGUGAGGGAUGACGGCCUUCGGGUUGUAAACCUCUGUUAGCAUCGAAGAAGCGAAAGUGACGGUAGGUGCAGAGAAAGCGCCGGCUAACUACGUG